Non-coding RNA from Cyanistes caeruleus (blue tit), 732 nucleotides. The record is from RefSeq and is a predicted model, not a curated record. NCBI's taxonomy places the organism in Eukaryota, Metazoa, Chordata, Aves, Passeriformes, Paridae.
CCCUCGGGGCUGCUGCUGCCGGCCUCUGGCAGCCGUGCCCUUGGGCUGAGUCAGGAUGCGGCAAGGGCCCGGGCUGAGCCCUGCCGGGGCGGGAGGCCGUGUGGCCACAGGGCUGGCAGCGCCGCUGGCAGGGAGCUGUGCUGCUGGGGCCCUGACAGGCUCUGUGUUCCCAGGGAUGGCCGGGCAGCACCUGAGGGGGCAGAAGAAAGAGCUGCGGGCCCUCAUCGAGGCACUUCAAGCCCUGAGGAGAGAUGACAACCCUUCUCAGACAAACACAGAUCUUCGGGAGAUAUUCUCUAAAAGAGCUGCAGAGCUACGUUUGUCUGCUGGCUUAGGAGAACCAGUGUUCAUUUAAGAUGCUGUGGAAGAUGAGACUACGCUGAGACCAGAAGAGACCAGCUGGAGCUCCAGGCACAGCUGAUGACUUGCACAGCAGAGCCUGUGGGAAGCUCGCAUGGCUUCAGCCCUCUCCCCCUGCCUGUAGAUAGCUCUGUCCCUGCAGCCCUCAGACACUGCCCAUCCCUUCUUUUUCCCUCCACUUUCCCUCCCUUUUGACAGCUCCCUCCUUCCAGCCCUCAGACACUGCCCAUCCCUUCUUUUUCCCUCCACUCUCCAUCCCUUUUGAUAGCUCCCUCCUUCCAGCCCUCAGACACUCCCCAUCCCCUUUUUUGCCCCUCUGCUCAUCCCUUUGCUUCGCAUUUCAUCAAUAAACAGUUUUCCUUUUUCACUUGA